CCUACGGGAGGCUGCAGUGGGGAAUAUUGGACAAUGGGGGCAACCCUGAUCCAGCCAUGCCGCGUGUGUGAAGAAGGCCCUCGGGUUGUAAAGCACUUUCAGUGAGGAAGAACGCCUGGUGGUUAAUACCCAUCGGGAAAGACAUCACUCACAGAAGAAGCACCGGCUAACUCCGUGCCAGCAGCCGCGGUAAUACGGAGGGUGCGAGCGUUAAUCGGAAUUACUGGGCGUAAAGCGCGCGUAGGUGGCUUGAUAAGCCGGUUGUGAAAGCCCCGGGCUCAACCUGGGAACGGCAUCCGGAACUGUCAAGCUAGAGUGCAGGAGAGGAAGGUAGAAUUCCCGGUGUAGCGGUGAAAUGCGUAGAGAUCGGGAGGAAUACCAGUGGCGAAGGCGGCCUUCUGGACUGACACUGACACUGAGGUGCGAAAGCGUGGGUAGCAAACAGGAUUAGAUACCCGGGUAGUC
RNAcentral lists this ribosomal RNA (465 nucleotides) under Vreelandella stevensii. RNAcentral describes it as "partial 16S ribosomal RNA". It matches the Rfam family "Bacterial small subunit ribosomal RNA", at positions 338 to 795 of the family's 1533-position model. Lineage: Bacteria; Pseudomonadati; Pseudomonadota; Gammaproteobacteria; Oceanospirillales; Halomonadaceae. The record is from RNAcentral.